Molecule: small RNA, 77 nt
Filed under: Brevundimonas subvibrioides ATCC 15264
Lineage: Bacteria; Pseudomonadati; Pseudomonadota; Alphaproteobacteria; Caulobacterales; Caulobacteraceae
Description: Makes More Granules Regulator RNA (mmgR)
Rfam family: Makes More Granules Regulator RNA (mmgR)
About the family: SuhB later renamed mmgR (makes more granules regulator) was a putative non-coding RNA found multiple times in the Agrobacterium tumefaciens genome and related alpha-proteobacteria. Other non-coding RNAs uncovered in the same analysis include: speF, ybhL, metA, and serC.
Source: Rfam by way of RNAcentral
GCGUCUUGCCCUUCCUGGGCGUUUCCUCCCUAUAGACUUUAUGCCGCGCCUUCGGGCGCGGCUUUUUUUCGUCUGGU